AUUUUUUAUUAAAACAAGUACAAUCCUCCGCAUUAGACAGUACGAGGUAGGGGGAGUUUCUACCGCUCCAUGUUGUUUUCAGCAGGAUGGGGUAUAUGGGGAGCUGUGUUUUACGGUUCUCUAGGUAGAGCUACUUGCUACUCAUACCUUCGUGAUAGGCGGUUUGGAAAAACUGAAGGAAUAUGGAACCAUUAAGAACUCGGAUGGAUAUAUAUACAUGAUAUCUGGGUGUCAGAGGGUUCCCACAUGU
This 250-nucleotide small nucleolar RNA is filed under the name Eremothecium cymbalariae DBVPG#7215. The record is from RNAcentral. Lineage: Eukaryota; Fungi; Ascomycota; Saccharomycetes; Saccharomycetales; Saccharomycetaceae.